AACGCGAAGAACCUUACCUGGCCUUGACAUGCACGUAGUAGAAGCGUGAAAGCGUAACGAACCCGCAAGGGUAGCGUGCACAGGUGCUGCAUGGCUGUCGUCAGCUCGUGUCGUGAGAUGUUGGGUUAAGUCCCGCAACGAGCGCAACCCUUGUGUCCUGUUGCCACUCAAACGAGAGUUUGAAGCACUCUGGACAGACUGCCUCGCUUAAACGAGGAGGAAGGUGGGGAUGACGUCAAGUCAGGAUGGCCCUUACGGCCAGGGCUGCACACGUACUACAAUGCCCGGUACAAAGGGACGCAAGACCGCAAGGUGGAGCAAAUCCCAUAAAGCCGGGCUCAGUUCAGAUUGUCGGCUGCAACUCGCCGACAUGAAGCUGGAAUCGCUAGUAAUGGCGCAUCAGCUACGGCGCCGUGAAUACGUUCCCGGGCCUUGUACACACCGCACUACUA
This 452-nucleotide ribosomal RNA is filed under the name uncultured bacterium. Its description in RNAcentral is "bacterial SSU rRNA". It matches the Rfam family "Bacterial small subunit ribosomal RNA", at positions 958 to 1400 of the family's 1533-position model. The record is from RNAcentral.